This 324-nucleotide long non-coding RNA is filed under the name Heterocephalus glaber (naked mole-rat). Its description in RNAcentral is "lncRNA (ENSHGLG00100047543.1)". Lineage: Eukaryota; Metazoa; Chordata; Mammalia; Rodentia; Bathyergidae. The record is from RNAcentral.
GUGUCCUCCGGGCCGGGCGGGGGCCUCGGAACGCCCGCGGAGGGGAGCAGAGCCGGGGUCCCCCAAUUCCUGUUCCCCGCGCCCCUCUCUGGCUUUGCGCCCAGCCGCGGGGUUCCCGGCCAGAGCAGGCGGCUUCCGCUCGCCGGGGCAGCAGAGUGCAAGUGCAUGGGCAUUCUGUAUCUUCAGGAUCCUCAUUGUCUCAUCAGUGAUUCUUUUGGCUGAAUCCUGACUGAAGCCAGAAGACAUGGGUGCCUGGGAAAUGCAGUAUCAAAAUUCAACAUCCUUGAAAUAUAAACCAAAGCAGGGAAGGGCGAAGUAAAUCCC